Molecule: non-coding RNA, 74 nt
Organism: Larimichthys crocea (large yellow croaker)
Lineage: Eukaryota; Metazoa; Chordata; Actinopteri; Sciaenidae
Source: the annotation of a RefSeq genome assembly
GCCGAAAUGCUCAGUUGGGAGAGCGUUAGACUGAAGAUCUAAAGUAGCCCUGGGUUCGAUCCCGGGUUUCGGCA